RNAcentral lists this ribosomal RNA (418 nucleotides) under uncultured bacterium. Its description in RNAcentral is "bacterial SSU rRNA". It matches the Rfam family "Bacterial small subunit ribosomal RNA", at positions 8 to 426 of the family's 1533-position model. The record is from RNAcentral.
AGAGUUUGAUCCUGGCUCAGAUUGAACGCUGGCGGCAUGCCUUACACAUGCAAGUCGAACGGCAGCACGGGAGCAAUCCUGGUGGCGAGUGGCGAACGGGUGAGUAAUAUAUCGGAACGUGCCCAGUCGUGGGGGAUAACGCAGCGAAAGCUGUGCUAAUACCGCAUACGAUCGCUGGAUGAAAGCGGGGGACUCGCAAGGGCCUCGCGCGAUUGGAGCGGCCGAUAUCAGAUUAGCUAGUUGGUGGGGUAAAAGCCCACCAAGGCGACGAUCUGUAGCUGGUCUGAGAGGACGACCAGCCACACUGGAACUGAGACACGGUCCAGACUCCUACGGGAGGCAGCAGUGGGGAAUUUUGGACAAUGGGCGCAAGCCUGAUCCAGCAAUGCCGCGUGCAGGAUGAAGGCCUUCGGGUUGU